UAGGGAAUCUUCGGCAAUGGACGGAAGUCUGACCGAGCAACGCCGCGUGAGUGAAGAAGGUUUUCGGAUCGUAAAGCUCUGUUGUUAGAGAAGAACGUUGGUAGGAGUGGAAAAUCUACCAAGUGACGGUAACUAACCAGAAAGGGACGGCUAACUACGUGCCAGCAGCCGCGGUAAUACGUAGGUCCCGAGCGUUGUCCGGAUUUAUUGGGCGUAAAGCGAGCGCAGGCGGUUCUUUAAGUCUGAAGUUAAAGGCAGUGGCUUAACCAUUGUACGCAUUGGGAACUGGAAGACGUGAGUACAGAAGGGGGGAGUGGAAUUCCAUGGGGAACGGUGAAAUGCGUAGAUAUAUGGAGGAACACCGGUGGCGAAAGCGGCUCUCUGGUCUGGAACUGACGCUGAGGCUCGAAAGCGUGGGGAGCAAACAGG
RNAcentral lists this ribosomal RNA (429 nucleotides) under Bacillota bacterium. RNAcentral describes it as "Firmicutes bacterium partial 16S ribosomal RNA". It matches the Rfam family "Bacterial small subunit ribosomal RNA", at positions 355 to 776 of the family's 1533-position model. Lineage: Bacteria; Bacillati; Bacillota. The record is from RNAcentral.